Molecule: ribosomal RNA, 377 nt
Filed under: uncultured Chloroflexota bacterium
Lineage: Bacteria; Bacillati; Chloroflexota
Description: bacterial SSU rRNA
Rfam family: Bacterial small subunit ribosomal RNA
Source: RNAcentral
UAAUACGUAGGAGGCAAGCGUUAUCCGGAUUUACUGGGCGUAAAGAGGGCGUAGGCGGCUUUUCAAGUCGGAUGUAAAAUCUCUCGGCUUAACCGGGAGGGAUCAUUCGAUACUGUUGAGCUAGAGGGCAGCAGAGGAAGACGGAAUUCCCGGUGGAGUGGUGAUAUGCGUAGAUAUCGGGAGGAACACCAGUGGCGAAGGCGGUCUUCUGGGCUGUUCCUGACGCUGAGGCCCGAAAGCGUGGGGAGCGAACAGGAUUAGAUACCCUGGUAGUCCACGCCGUAAACGAUGGAUACUAGGUAUGGGGAGUAUCGACCCUCUCCGUGCCGAAGCUAACGCCUUAAGUACCCCGCCUGGGGAGUACGACCGCAAGGUUA